RNAcentral lists this ribosomal RNA (2909 nucleotides) under Boleophthalmus pectinirostris (great blue-spotted mudskipper). RNAcentral's name for it is "eukaryotic LSU rRNA". It matches the Rfam family "Eukaryotic large subunit ribosomal RNA". The record is from RNAcentral. Lineage: Eukaryota; Metazoa; Chordata; Actinopteri; Gobiiformes; Gobiidae.
ACUAUGAGACUAUAAGACUAAGAGACUAAGAGACUAUGAGACUAAGAGACUAUGAGACUAUAAGACUAAGAGACUAUGAGACUAUAAGACUAAAAGACUAAAAGACUAAGAGACUAUGAGACUAUGAGACUAAAAGACUAUGAGACUAUGAGACUAAGAGACUAAGAGACUAUAAGACUAAAAGACUAUGACUAAAAGACUUUUAAUAUUAGUCUAUUAGUCUUUUAGUCUUAUAGUCUCAUAGUCUCAGUCUCAUAGUCUCAUAGUCUUAUAGUCUUAUAGUCUUUUAGUCUCUUAGUCUUUUAGUCUUUCCCGGCCCGGACAUGGAAAGGAUUGACAGAUUGAUAGCUCUUUCUUGAUUCUGUAGGUGGUGGUGCAUGUUCUUAUUUGGUGGAGUAAUUUGUCUGGUUAAUAACGAAUGAGACUCCGGCAUGCUCACUAGUUACGCGGCCCUGUGCGGUUGGCUUUCAUCUUCUUAGAGGGACAAGUGGCGUUCAGCCACACGAGAUUGAGCAAUAACAGGUCUGUGAUGCCCUUAGAUGUCCGGGGCUGCACGCGCGCCACAAUGAGUGGAUCAGCGUGUGUCUACCCUUGGCCGAUCAGGCCUGGGUAACCCGCUGAACCCCACUCGUGAUAGGGACUGGGGAUUGCAAUUAUUUCCCAUGAACGAGGAAUUCUCUGUAAGCGCAGGUCACAAGCUCGUGCUGAUUAACUCCCUGCUCUUUGUACACACCGGCCGUCGCUACUACCGAUUGGAUGGUUGCCCAGAAGAUGAUCAAACUUGACUAUCUAGAGGAAGUAAAAGUCAUAACAAGGUUUCCGUAGGUGAACCUGAGGAAGGAUCAUUAUCAUUUUUUUGCUUGGCGCUCUCCCCCUCAGGGCAGACUGACACGAAAAGACAAAAACCACGGUUAAAAAAGCCUAGGCCGAAGCGACCUCCGGGCUCUCCUCCGGGGAUGGGACCCCAAGCUCCGCCACCGCGGAGGGCCCGGCAGAACUGGCGCUGUGGGAUGAACCGAACGCCGGGUUAAGGCGCCCGAUGACGACUCUCAUCAGACCUCAGAAAAGGGGUUGGUUGAUAUAGACAGCAGGACGGUUGCCAUGGAAGUUGGAAUCCGCUAAGGAGUGUGUAACAACUCACCUGCUGAAUCAACUAGCCCUGAAAAUGGAUGGCACUGAAGCGUUGGGCCCAUACCCGGCCGUCGCCGGCACGAGGGGCCUCGAGGGCUGAGCACUGAAGUCUAGGGUGCGGGCCCGGGUGGAGCCGCUGCGGGUGCAGAUCUUUGUGGUUGUAGCAAAUAUUCAAACAAGAACUUUGAAGGCCGAAGUGGAGAAGGGUUCCAUGUGAACAGCAGUUGAACAUGGGUCAGUCGGUCCUAAGAGAUGGGCGAACGCCGUUCGGAAGGGUGGGGCGAUGGCCUAUGUCGCCCCCGGCUGAUCAAAAGGUCCGUAACAAUGAAGUAGUAGAUUUCAGUCUCCUACUAACCCAAUGGAUCUAUCCAAACAAUAACAUUUAACUGUGUGAUGACAAAGGGCCUAUGGAAGGAUCAUUUUAUAUGUGCGAGGUGCGUAACAGAAAAGUCGUAACAAGGAUCCAAUCAAGAAUGUGAAAGGGUCAUAUCAUACCUGUGAAAUAUAUAACAAGAAAGUAAAACUCCUGGGUCCAAAUACCAAAAGGAACCAGUAAAGGGUCUUCAGUCAGACAAGACCAGAAAGUCGUAACAAUUCUAGGUGAGAACCUAUAUAGGAAUCAUACCAAACAUCUCAUAGGGCUGGGAGGGGGGUGUCUGGGUUGCCCCCGGACCUUAGUUGGGGGGGUCCUGUAUCGCUCCCCUCCACCCUGAGAGAAACCAUCUCUGGCAUGUAAAGUGCAAUUUUACAAGAAAAUUAUCCGAGGGACUCGGACCAUCUCAGUCGGCCGGUCCCAAUCGACAGAUGCGCACGGUGCGAUGACUGUGGAUGAUGUUUCGAGGGGUUUAGCGGUACCCUCAAUCGAUGUAAGACCCUGGGGCCAAAUCAGUUCUCCGGAGAACGGAGACGGGGGCGUCAUCUGACGGGAACGAGCUUGGCAGAAUCAGUGAGGAAAGAAGACCCUGUUGAGCUUGACUCUAAUCUAGCACUGUGAAGAGACAUCAGAGGUGUAGAAUAAGUGGAAGGCCUCAGCCUCGGCAGCCAGUGAAAUACCACUAAUCUUAUCGUUUUUUCACUUACCCGGUAAGGCGGGGAGGCGAGCCCCAAAUGGGCUCUCGCUUCUGGCGUCAAGCGCCCAGCCCUCCGGGAACAGUGGCAGGUGGGGAGUUUGACUGGGGCGGUACACCUGUCAAACAGUAACGUAGGUUUCCUAAAGCGAGCUCAGGGAGGACAGAAACCUUCCGUGGUGCAGAAGGGCAAAAGCUCGCUUGAUCUUGAUUUUCAGUAUGAAUACAGACCGGGGAAGCGGGGCCUCCCGAUCCUUCUGACUUUUGGGGUUUUAAGCAGGAGUUGUCAGAAAAGUUACCACAGGGAUAACUGUCUUGUCUUGUCUUGUUUUUGAUCCUUCGAUGUCGGCUCUUCCUAUCAUUGUGAAGCAGAAUUCACCAAGCGUUGGAUUUUUCACCCACUACUAGGGAACGUGAGCUGGGUUUAGACUGGCUUGAGACAGGUUAGUUUUACCCUACUGAUAAUGUGUUGUUGCAAUAGUAAUCCUGCUAAGUAUGAGAGGACCCGCAGGUUCAGACAUUUGGUGCAUGUGCUUGGCUGAGGAGCCAAUGGUGCUACCAUCUGUGGGAUUAUGACUGAACGCCUCUGUCAGAAUAAUUUUAUUAUCCCAUAUUUGCUAAAUACUUGUGUGAUAUUCUAGGCCUAUGAGUUAACCAUUUAUGUACUACAAUUCUUUGAUUUAUAAUGUACCAAUCACUUGUCACUUGUUG